UAUAUUUUGUAGUAUGUUACAAAUUCAAAUCUGAACCACAUGAAUGCUCCAUUAAUGUAGAGAGAGAAAAAGAGAAAGAUUGUUAAGGAUGGUGGGGAGGUGUAGGGUAUUUUUGGAAUAAAGAAAAUAGUGGGAAAGUGUAGAAUAUUUUUGAAAUAAAUUAAAUUAAUGGGGAGGUACAGGUCCCACUUGGGGAGGUGUAGGAAGCUAGGUAGAAUAAUGAUUUUUUUGUUUAUUUGUAUAUUUAUCGAACAAAUCAAAUUUUCUAAAUCGAUAGUUCAAGUUGGUUGAAAAUUAUUCGGUGUUGAUUAGAUUUAAUUAAUUAUUUAACUAAACAAGAUAAUAAUUAAGUUUAAGAAAAUUGAAUUAUG
Molecule: long non-coding RNA, 371 nt
Filed under: Vigna radiata
Lineage: Eukaryota; Viridiplantae; Streptophyta; Magnoliopsida; Fabales; Fabaceae
Description: long non-coding RNA (VRAD_LNC005713)
Source: RNAcentral